CGGGGGAGGCCGGAUCCCGGGCUGUGUCCCGGCGCCCUGUGCUCGCGGGGCCUGCGCUGUUGGAUUCGCGCUCCCGCCCCGCAGCCCCCU
RNAcentral lists this microRNA precursor (90 nucleotides) under Canis lupus familiaris (dog). RNAcentral describes it as "mir-8799 microRNA precursor family". It matches the Rfam family "mir-8799 microRNA precursor family". The record is from Rfam by way of RNAcentral. Lineage: Eukaryota; Metazoa; Chordata; Mammalia; Carnivora; Canidae. RNAcentral also lists the same sequence under 1 other name.